RNAcentral lists this ribosomal RNA (460 nucleotides) under uncultured bacterium. RNAcentral's name for it is "partial 16S ribosomal RNA". It matches the Rfam family "Bacterial small subunit ribosomal RNA", at positions 338 to 795 of the family's 1533-position model. The record is from RNAcentral.
CCUACGGGAGGCAGCAGUGAGGAAUAUUGGUCAAUGGGCGCUAGCCUGAACCAGCCAAGUAGCGUGAAGGAUGACUGCCCUAUGGGUUGUACACUUCUUUUAUAUGGGAAUAAAGUGCAGUAUGUAUACUGCUUUUCAUGUACCUUAUGAAUAAGGAUUGGCUAACUCCGUUCCAGCAGCCGCGGUAAUACGGAGGAUCCGAGCGUUAUCCGGAUUUUUUUGGUUUAAAGGGAUCGUAGGCGGGUUGUUAAGUCAGUUGUGAAAUUUUUGGGCUUAACCGUAACAUUGCAGUUGAUACUGGCAUCCUUGAGUACAGGAGAGGUAGGCGGAAUUCGUGGUGUAGCGGUGAAAUGCUUAGAUAUCACGAAGAACUCUGAUUGCGAAGGCAGCAUGCUGGACUGUAACUGACGCUGAUGCUCGAAAGUGUGGGUAUCAAACAGGAUUAGAUACCCUUGUAGUC